This 250-nucleotide ribosomal RNA is filed under the name uncultured bacterium. RNAcentral describes it as "partial 16S ribosomal RNA". It matches the Rfam family "Bacterial small subunit ribosomal RNA", at positions 524 to 774 of the family's 1533-position model. The record is from RNAcentral.
UACGUAGGGGGCAAGCGUUGUCCGGAAUUAUUGGGCGUAAAGCGCGCGCAGGCGGCCGUUUAAGUCUUAUGUAUAAACCUGAGGCUCAACCUCGGGACGCAUGGGAAACUGGGCGGCUGGAGUGCAGGAGAGGAAAGUGGAAUUCCACGUGUAGCGGUGAAAUGCGUAGAGAUGUGGAGGAACACCAGUGGCGAAGGCGACUUUCUGGCCUGUAACUGACGCUGAGGCGCGAAAGCGUGGGGAGCAAACA